RNAcentral lists this ribosomal RNA (497 nucleotides) under uncultured bacterium. Its description in RNAcentral is "partial 16S ribosomal RNA". It matches the Rfam family "Bacterial small subunit ribosomal RNA", at positions 28 to 507 of the family's 1533-position model. The record is from RNAcentral.
GAUGAACGCUGGCGGCGUGCCUAAUACAUGCAAGUCGAGCGAACAGAUGAGGAGCUUGCUCCUCUGACGUUAGCGGCGGACGGGUGAGUAACACGUGGAUAACCUACCUAUAAGACUGGGAUAACUUCGGGAAACCGGAGCUAAUACCGGAUAAUAUAUUGAACCGCAUGGUUCAAUAGUGAAAGACGGUUUUGCUGUCACUUAUAGAUGGAUCCGCGCCGCAUUAGCUAGUUGGUAAGGUAACGGCUUACCAAGGCAACGAUGCGUAGCCGACCUGAGAGGGUGAUCGGCCACACUGGAACUGAGACACGGUCCAGACUCCUACGGGAGGCAGCAGUAGGGAAUCUUCCGCAAUGGGCGACAGCCUGACGGAGCAACGCCGCGUGAGUGAUGAAGGUCUUCGGAUCGUAAAACUCUGUUAUUAGGGAAGAACAAAUGUGUAAGUAACUAUGCACGUCUUGACGGUACCUAAUCAGAAAGCCACGGCUAACUACGUG